Long non-coding RNA from Manduca sexta (tobacco hornworm), 690 nucleotides. RefSeq lists it as uncharacterized. The record is from RefSeq and is a predicted model, not a curated record. The transcript has 2 exons. Lineage: Eukaryota; Metazoa; Arthropoda; Insecta; Lepidoptera; Sphingidae.
UAAAAAAGAAGCAAACUGUCAUCUACUCAAAUUCUUUGACUCAAAUUUCAAUAUUGUGUCGUCUAGUCUCAAACACCAAAAUGUAAUAAAACACGUAAACAAAGCAAAUACAAUGAAAACGCAACUGCAAAACCUCAUAACCUUUUAGGAAAAAUAUUGUACUAUACACAACAUUAAAAACAGGAAAAAUGCCGAAGUACAAGGAAUUCGACCCAUGCUUAGGGCGGCGAUCUGAGAAAUCCUACUCUACUAUACUAAAGGAGUUUCUGCAGUUCGCAUUCACUCACAUCAUCCUCUGCGCAUGUAGAAUCGUUCCUAUCGUCCUGUAUGGAGCUAUAGGAAUCUUCUAUUUACUAUGCGAAGGUUUUUGCUGCGUUGUGUUUUGCACUUGAAGGACAUGCAUUAGCAAGUUAAUGCCAAGCACUGAUGUGUUUAUGGAUUCGUGCAAUCCGACUGAACUGCUGAGUCACCAUCUGAAUCGGUCUAUUCCUUGCCUUCCGCAUAUGCGUGAGAACAGGAUCAUUCGAUCAUACUUUAUUUCCGUUCAGAUGGACGGAGCAUGAUGAAAUUCAAUACGUUGUGUCUAGUAUUCUAUUAAGCAAGUAUUUCUAUUUAGCGGUUGGUUUUCAUUGCUUUGUGACCGUAAAAACUUGUAAUAGUAGCAAUGAUUUUAAAUACAUUUACAGACUU